UUCCGGUUGAUCCUGCCAGACCUGACUGCUAUCGGAUUGAUACUAAGCCAUGCGAGUCGUUGUAGCAAUACAAGGCAUACGGCUCAGUAACGCGUAGUCAACCUAACCUAUGGACGGGAAUAACCUCGGGAAACUGAGAAUAAUGCCCGAUAGAACAUUAUGCCUGGAAUGGUUUAUGUUCCAAAUGAUUUAUCGCCAUAGGAUGGGACUGCGGCCUAUCAGUUUGUUGGUGAGGUAAUGGCCCACCAAGACUAUUACAGGUACGGGCUCUGAGAGGAGUAGCCCGGAGAUGGGUACUGAGACACGGACCCAGGCCCUAUGGGGCGCAGCAGGCGAGAAAACUUUGCAAUGUGCGAAAGCACGACAAGGUUAAUCCGAGUGAUUUCUGCUAAAGAGAUCUUUUGUUAGUCCUAGAAACACUAACGAAUAAGGGGUGGGCAAGUUCUGGUGUCAGCCGCCGCGGUAAAACCAGCACCUCAAGUGGUCAGGAUGAUUAUUGGGCCUAAAGCAUCCGUAGCCGGCUCUGUAAGUUUUCGGUUAAAUCUGUACGCUCAACGUACAGGCUGCCGGGAAUACUGCAGAACUAGGGAGUGGGAGAGGUAGACGGUACUCGGUAGGAAGUGGUAAAAUGCUUUGAUCUAUCGAUGACCACCUGUGGCGAAGGCGGUCUACCAGAACACGUCCGACGGUGAGGGAUGAAAGCUGGGGGAGCAAACCGGAUUAGAUACCCGGGUAGUCCCAGCUGUAAACUAUGCAAACUCAGUGAUGCAUUGGCUUGUGGCCAAUGCAGUGCUGCAGGGAAGCCGUUAAGUUUGCCGCCUGGGAAGUACGUACGCAAGUAUGAAACUUAAAGGAAUUGGCGGGGGAGCACCACAAGGGGUGAAGCCUGCGGUUCAA
This 897-nucleotide ribosomal RNA is filed under the name uncultured archaeon. RNAcentral describes it as "bacterial SSU rRNA". It matches the Rfam family "Archaeal small subunit ribosomal RNA", at positions 1 to 905 of the family's 1478-position model. The record is from RNAcentral.